CUGUCAAUUUUUUUGACGUAUCUCAUAUAUUAUAGUAUUACAAUGAAGUGCUCUAAUUUAUCUGUUAAAAAAGGUUUCAUCACUGUUUCCUGUAGUAAUUCUCAAUAAUGUUUUAAAUAGGAUAGAUUAAAUAGGAUAUAUUAUCUAAAGUAAACAGGCUUUUAAGCCUUCAAUUUGCCCCAAUUGACAUGAAGUGCGCAUUUCGAAAAGCCAGUGAACGCAGCGUCAUACGGGCACCCCCACCCCAAUCCCCCGGAAACCCUCGGAUGAACCCGCAGGAAAGCGCGCGGCUGAAGAACUUCUUGGACAGCUGGAAGGCCGCAGCAUCACGGUGAAGGCCUCUUCUGUAUAGAGGACGGGGGCGGAAACGUCACGUGGUCUCCGCAGAGACUGGUCAGUUAUUUGGAGACAACAUGUACAAAUAGUUCCUGGACUGAUCUUCUGCUAACUUUGAGAUGGAGAGGCUGUCAGGUUCAUCUGUUUCAGGGUCCUGCAUGCUCUCCCUCCAUGUUGGCUGUAGCAGUGGAUGGAACUUGCUAAAUGCUCAGUGGUUAUUUGGAAGAUGCGUUUUUGACCAAAAACACUGUGGAAACCUCCUUUGUGAACUGCAUUCAUGGGGAAAUAGAAUAUAAUCCUGGAGAUGGGAGAUGUGGAGCAGGUAAGUUUGUGGCAGCACCAGAGUCCUCCAACAAGUCUUCUGGCAAAGUAAAUGAGGAAGGAUCGCAGUCUGCCAUCGUGGAGUUUUGCUGAAAGGCCUGAACACGUUCCAUCCAUGCAUCCAUCUUCUUCCAUUCAUCAGGAACCAGGUUGUGAGGGCAGCAGUCUAAGCAAAGAUGCCCACACUUCCCUUUCCUCCAGCUCCUCUUGGGGGACCCCGGGGCCAGCUGAAAGACGUAGUCUCCCCAGCGUGUCCUGGGUCUCCCUUAGGGCCUCUGCCCUUAUUCCUGUUGGAGUUUUUUUCUAACCCCUUAUGUUUCAAAAGUUUGCAAACAUACAUUUUGGUUGAAAUGAUGAGGAUCCGAGGAUGAAAUCAAGAAGGGACAACAUCAGGGAAAGGGACUGAACCGACUGAACAGCUUCCUCUCUUCAGCAGACACAUGUUCCGAGUACAUAUGUGUCAAAAACUGACAUCCUCGCCGUUCAGGCCGGUGGCUGGAACAAGCGGAAGUCAGAAAAGCUGGAGCAGACGUGACCAGAAUGAUACCUCCAGGACCAAUCAAAAUGACCCAGAGAAAAACACUGAAGGGCUUUGUCUGAGCAUCAGGAAAACAAGAAUCAGCUGUCAUCAACAUAUGGUUAUGGUGCCAUGGUAAAGAACUAAAGGCUCUAUGAUGUCAUGCUGCUGACCAGACUGUGGUUGGUGAAGUCCAGCAGCACUGCAGGUCCUUGAAGUGUGGUUGAAGAGCUCUUCUCCCAGCUUUUGGAAGGCAGCACAGAGUCAUUGAUGGAGAGAGGACGUGAGGGACUAAUUGUCUGCUGAGGAGGAGACUUUCUGGAGUUCAAGCCCCAGCUCCACCCCUAAAAAAAGGCUUAUAUAAAGGAAAACCUCAUUUCAACUUUGUACCAAUAAAUGACUUUUAAUUGAAA
Molecule: non-coding RNA, 1587 nt
Organism: Oryzias latipes (Japanese medaka)
Lineage: Eukaryota; Metazoa; Chordata; Actinopteri; Beloniformes; Adrianichthyidae
Source: RefSeq, a predicted model, not a curated record